GUGCCAGCCGCCGCGGUAAUACCGGCGGCUCGAGUGGUGGCCGCUUUUACUGGGCUUAAAGGGUCCGUAGCUGGAUUCACAAGUCCCUUGAGAAAUCUAUCGGCUUAACUGAUAGGCGUUCAGGGGAUACUGUGGUUCUAGGGACCGGGAGAGGUGAGAGGUACUGCCGGGGUAGGAGUGAAAUCCUGUAAUCCCGGUGGGACGACCUAUGGCGAAGGCAUCUCACCAGAACGGCUCCGACAGUGAGGGACGAAAGCUGGGGGAGCAAACCGGAUUAGAUACCCCUGUAGUCC
This 293-nucleotide ribosomal RNA is filed under the name uncultured bacterium. RNAcentral describes it as "partial 16S ribosomal RNA". It matches the Rfam family "Archaeal small subunit ribosomal RNA", at positions 455 to 747 of the family's 1478-position model. The record is from RNAcentral.